RNAcentral lists this ribosomal RNA (388 nucleotides) under uncultured bacterium. RNAcentral's name for it is "bacterial SSU rRNA". It matches the Rfam family "Bacterial small subunit ribosomal RNA", at positions 28 to 417 of the family's 1533-position model. The record is from RNAcentral.
GACGAACGCUGGCGACGUGCUUAACACAUGCAAGUCGAGCGGUAAGGCCCUUUCGGGGGUACACGAGCGGCGAACGGGUGAGUAACACGUGGGUGACCUGCCCUCAGCUCUGGGAUAAGCCUGGGAAACCGGGUCUAAUACUGGAUAUGACUCCAUGACGCAUGUUGUGGGGUGGAAAGCCUUGUGCGGCUGAGGAUGGGCCCGCGGCCUAUCAGCUUGUUGGUGGGGUGAUGGCCUACCAAGGCGACGACGGGUAGCCGGCCUGAGAGGGCGACCGGCCACACUGGGACUGAGACACGGCCCAGACUCCUACGGGAGGCAGCAGUGGGGAAUCUUGCGCAAUGGGCGAAAGCCUGACGCAGCGACGCCGCGUGAGGGAUGACGGCCU